ACAGAAUCAUUAUGUUUGGGAAGUAUUGUGGACCAUGACCAAAUGUUCUGGUAUUAUUCCUCAAAUGAAAAUCAGCUGUGUGCCUGCCUGUGAUCACUCGGCGGCGUGCGCGCGAGCUCCCAGCCUGCGCAACAACAGACCCAGGAAGGAAGGUAGCCGCGCGGGCGCCCGUGAAACACCCACACGACGACCCCCCUGUUCUCAAAACUCCUGAUCGGGCCAGUCCUUAGACCAACUCUGCAGAGGCAUAGGUUCCCAUGAAGGGUAGUUUUCUGAGCUCCGAACUUUGAACAUCUUUAAAGAAAGGGCAGGGGAAACCUGUAAUAGAACGGAGUGGAGUUCAACCCUGAGGGUAAGGAAACUAAAGUUAGGCCUUGUAGAUUGUGUUCAGUCUCAGUCGUGAGGAACAGCCAUUGGCUAGCUAAGACCAGGGGAUUGGGUUCCGCAUAUGACUGUGCAUGUGGUAUAAUAUGAGAUCAGAGAUAGCCUGAAAGAGGACCUUCAAAUUCUUUUUCUUUCCCUCUCUCUUUUCUCUUUUUUCCUCUUUCCACCCU
RNAcentral lists this long non-coding RNA (554 nucleotides) under Fukomys damarensis (Damara mole-rat). Its description in RNAcentral is "lncRNA (ENSFDAG00000026437.1)". The record is from RNAcentral. Lineage: Eukaryota; Metazoa; Chordata; Mammalia; Rodentia; Bathyergidae.